UACGUAGGGAGCAAGCGUUGUUCGGAUUUACUGGGCGUAAAGGGCGCGUAGGCGGCAAUUCAAGUCAGCUGUGAAAUCUCCGGGCUUAACUCGGAACGGUCAGCUGAUACUGCUUUGCUAGAGUGCGGAAGGGGCAAUCGGAAUUCUCGGUGUAGCGGUGAAAUGCGUAGAUAUCGAGAGGAAUACCUGAGGUGAAGACGGGUUGCUGGGCCGACACUGACGCUGACAGCGCGAAAGCCAGGGGAGCAAACGGG
Molecule: ribosomal RNA, 254 nt
Filed under: uncultured bacterium
Lineage: Bacteria
Description: partial 16S ribosomal RNA
Rfam family: Bacterial small subunit ribosomal RNA
Source: RNAcentral